RNAcentral lists this long non-coding RNA (856 nucleotides) under Brassica napus (rape). RNAcentral's name for it is "long non-coding RNA (BNAP_LNC009422)". The record is from RNAcentral. Lineage: Eukaryota; Viridiplantae; Streptophyta; Magnoliopsida; Brassicales; Brassicaceae.
UUUAUUUUCUUUUUCAACCUUCACUACUGCUUCUGUUUUUUCUCUAUUUUCUCAGAUUUUAUCAUCCUUCAUCUCAAUCAUAACAUAUUCUUCAUUUAAAUCAUAGAUGAUGAUGGUGCCAUGGUAACGUAGAAAACGGCGACAGUGACAUAAACACCGACGACAUCCUUCACGACGGCAACGAUAACGGUGUCAUAGACGAUGGCAACGGUGAAAAAGACAAAGACGUAUGAUGGUUGAGACGUUGGACACAUCUAAACGACGGUGGAGAUACAGUAAACAUCACACGCCUUCCUCGCCUCCGUGUGUUGCAUUAUGCUCUCUUCCUCCCUUCUCUGCCAUCUCCACCACUGUUCUUCGUUGUUUCAACCACCGUUAUCUGACAUCUUAAGAAUUUUUGCUACCGUUCUAUGGCAUCUCAUCCACUAUUUUCCGUUCUGAUUUACAUCCUCAUGUUCAUUUUUAAAUUAUUAUUGGUCAUCUGAGGGAGGAAAUAGAGGUGGAGAGGAAGUUAAUGGACUCAUGUACGUAUUGUUGAUAUUUUUUGGAUGAUAGAUAGCUUAAGAAGUGAAAAUGAGAAAUGUUGUUGAGAUGUGUAUGGACUGACAAGCCGAGGAUGAUUCUUCAUGUACAUGUGGGUAUCGGACUCUAGUGUUCAUGUGGACAAGGAAACUCGGAAGUACAUGUGGAUAUCGAAUUUUGGUGUACAUGUAUAAAUUUAUCUUUAAUUUUUCCAUUGACUUUUAGAUUUUAUUCUGACCCUUGUUAGACAAUGUACAUGUGGAUAUCGAAUUUUCGUGUACAUGUAUAAAUUUAUCUUUAACACAUGAAGUUGUGUUAGAUGAUGUACAUAUAU